Molecule: long non-coding RNA, 1234 nt
Filed under: Salmo salar (Atlantic salmon)
Lineage: Eukaryota; Metazoa; Chordata; Actinopteri; Salmoniformes; Salmonidae
Description: lncRNA (ENSSSAG00000095501.1)
Source: RNAcentral
GUACUAUAGGAGGACUAAUCUGGUAGAACAUGGUACUAUAGGAGGACUAAUCUGGUAGAACAUGGUCUAUAGGAGGACUAAUCUGGUAGAACAUGGUACUAGGAGGACUAAUCUGAGUAGAACAUGGUACUAUAGGAGGACUAAUCUGGUAGAACAUGGUACUAUAGGAGGACUAAUCUGGUAGAACAUGGUACUAUAGGAGGACUAAUCUGGUAGAACAUGGGGUCUAUAGGAGGACUAAUCUGGCAGAACAUGGAACUAUAGGAGGACUAAUCUGGUAGAACAUGGGGUCUAUAGGAGGACUAAUCUGGUAGAAUAUGGUACUAUAGGAGGACUAAUCUGGUAGAACAUGGUACUAUAGGAGGACUAAUCUGGUAGACCAUGGUACUCUAGGAGGACUAAUCUGGUAGAACAUGGAACUAUAGGAGGACUAAUCUGGUAGAACAUGGUACUAUAGGAGGACUAAUCUGGUAGAACAUGGUACUAUAGGAGGACUAAUCUGGUAGAACAUGGUACUAUAGGAGGACUAAUCUGGUAGAACAUGGUACUAUAGGAGGACUAAUCUGGUAGAACAUGGUACUAUAGGAGGACUAAUCUGGUAGAACAUGGGACUAUAGGAGGACUAAUCUGGUAGAACAUGGUACUAUAGGAGGACUAAUCUGGUAGAACAUGGUACUAUAGGAGGACUAAUCUGGUAGAACAUGGGGUCUAUAGGAGGACUAAUCUGGUAGAACAUGGUACUAUAGGAGGACUAAUCUGGUAGAACAUGGUACUAUAGGAGGACUAAUCUGGUAGAACAUGGUACUAUAGGAGGACUAAUCUGGUAGAACAUGGGGUCUAUAGGAGGACUAAUCUGGUAGAACAUGGUACUAUAGGAGGACUAAUCUGGUAGAACAUGGUACUAUAGGAGGACUAAUCUGGUAGAACAUGGUACUAUAGGAGGACUAAUCUGGUAGAACAUGGUACUAUUGGAGGACUAAUCUGGUAGAACAUGGUACUAUAGGAGGACUAAUCUGGUAGAACAUGGUACUAUAGGAGGACUAAUCUGGUAGACCAUGGUAGUAUAGGAGGACUAAUCUGGUAGAACAUGGGGUCUAUAGGAGGACUAAUCUGGCAGAACAUGGUACUAUAGGAGGACUAAUCUGGUAGAACAUGAGGUCUAUAGGAGGACUAAUCUGGUAGAACAUGAGGUCUAUAGGAGGACUAAUCUGGUAGAACAUGGGGUCUGGUAAGG